ACUACGGGAGGCAGCAGUGGGGAAUAUUGCACAAUGGGGGAAACCCUGAUGCAGCAACGCCGCGUGAGUGAAGAAGUAUUUCGGUAUGUAAAGCUCUAUCAGUAGGGAAGAAGAAAGACGGUACCUGACUAAGAAGCCCCGGCUAACUACGUGCCAGCAGCCGCGGUAAGACGGAGGGGGCAAGCGUUCUCCGGAUUUACGGGGGGUAAAGGGAGCGUAGACGGCUGUGCAAGUCGGAAGUGAAAGCCCGUGGCGCAACCGCGGAACUGCUUUGGAAACUGUAUAGCUUGAGUACUGGAGAGGCCGGCGGAAUUCCUCGUGUAGCGGUGAACUGCGUAGAUAUUAGGAGGAACACCAGUGGCGAAGGCGGCCUGCUGGACAGAACCUGACGUUGCGGCUCGAAAGCGUGGGGAGCAAACAGGAUUAGAUACCCGGGUAGUC
Molecule: ribosomal RNA, 441 nt
Filed under: uncultured bacterium
Lineage: Bacteria
Description: partial 16S ribosomal RNA
Rfam family: Bacterial small subunit ribosomal RNA
Source: RNAcentral